This 544-nucleotide ribosomal RNA is filed under the name uncultured bacterium. Its description in RNAcentral is "bacterial SSU rRNA". It matches the Rfam family "Bacterial small subunit ribosomal RNA", at positions 371 to 917 of the family's 1533-position model. The record is from RNAcentral.
UUGUACGCAGUCUGACAGCCAUGUCGCGUGCAGGAAGACUGCCCUAUGGGUUGUAAACUGCUUUUAUAGUAAAAAAAACACAUCUACGUGUAGAUGUCUGCCAGUAUACUAUGAAUAAGCAUCGGCUAACUCCGUGCCAGCAGCCGCGGUAAUACGGAGGAUGCAAGCGUUAUCCGGAUUUAUUGGGUUUAAAGGGUGCGUAGGCGGGACUGUAAGUCAGGGGUGAAAUACUGCAGCUUAACUGUAACAUUGCCUUUGAAACUGCCGUUCUUGAGUACAGUUGAGGUAGGCGGAAUGUGGUGUGUAGCGGUGAAAUGCAUAGAUAUACCACAGAACGCCGAUUGCGAAGGCAGCUUACUAACCUGUUACUGACGCUGAGGCACGAAAGCGUGGGGAUCAAACAGGAUUAGAUACCCUGGUAGUCCACGCUGUAAACGAUGAUUACUGGUUGUUAGCGAUAUAUAGCUAGUGACUGAGCGAAAGCAUUAAGUAAUCCACCUGGGGAGUACGUCGGCAACGAUGAAACUCAAAGGAAUUUGACGGA